CUGGGAUUAGAUACCCCACUAUGCCUGGCAGUAAACCUUAACUACACCCCAAAUCGCCCGGGAACUACGAGCGAAGCUUAAAACCCAAAGGACUUGACGGUACCCCAAAUCCACCUAGAGGAGCCUGUCCUAUAAUCGAUAACCCCCGCUUUACCUCACCACUUCUAGCUAAUCAGCCUGUAUACCUCCGUCGUCAGCUUACCCCGUGAGCGAAAUAGUGAGCUUAAUGCCACUUCACCAACACGUCAGGUCAAGGUGCACUAUGARGUGGGAAGAGAUGGGCUACACUCCCUACCUAGGRACACRAAAAACUACCAUGAAAUCUAGUUUGAAGGCGGAUUUAGAAGUAAAAAGAAACCAGAAAGUUCUUUUUAAUUCGGCACUGGGGUGCGUACACACCGCCCGUCACCCUC
This 413-nucleotide ribosomal RNA is filed under the name Adenomera marmorata. RNAcentral describes it as "partial 12S ribosomal RNA". It matches the Rfam family "Bacterial small subunit ribosomal RNA", at positions 772 to 1404 of the family's 1533-position model. Lineage: Eukaryota; Metazoa; Chordata; Amphibia; Anura; Leptodactylidae. The record is from RNAcentral.